UCUUCUCUCCCUCCCACUUCAAAAUAUUAUUUUGGGUAAAUUCCGCUUACCUCCCCUGAGUUUAUGACAAAUAUAUAAUUACUUUUCUUAGUUUACAAAAUAAAUAUUAACUCCCAUGACUUUUGAAAUAAUUGUUAAUUCGCCUUAAGCUAAAUUUUGUGCAAAAAAGACAGAAGGGGUCAGCAGUGGGAGGGACGUGCAAUUUUGUUCUUAAUAAAACAAUUUUAAAAUAAAUAAAAUAUUUUCUCUUUUUAAAAAAAUGAUAAUAAAAUUUAUUUUUUUUAAGUUAUAUUUAGUAGAGGACUUGAUGAACGUUAAAAUAUUUAGAUAGGUUUUUAAAAAAAAUAGUAAGUAGAAAUUUUUUUGAUAGUAUAUUUUUAUUAAGAAUUAAAAAUUACUUAGAUCAAUCUUUUUAAAAAAAAUUAUUAUUGAUAAGAAAUAAAAGGUAGAAAUAAUUAUAAAUAAAUGGAUUUUGAGGGAAAAAAAUAGAAUAUUUAUUUAUUUUAAUGGGUUUUUUGGUGGGUGGUGGUUGUGUUGUGUUGUUUGUAUUGAGGAAAAAAAAAUUGAAAUCCCUAAACCACAAAGGAAAAAAUUUAUUAUUUUUGCAAAAAUUUAGCUUCAGGCGGAGGGAAUUUUGAUUAGAUAUUAGGUUCUAGAAGUAAUGGACGGUGAGUUAGGAGAGGGAAAAAGAAGAGAAGGGGAAGGGAGGGUGGGAGAAAACCUCAGGGGGGGGAGGUCAGUGAAAUUCACCCAAUUAUUUUUCAACAGUUGGCUGUUUUUCUAUUUUCUGUUCAUAUAGAUGUGAUUUUCCUUAUUAUGUCUCACUUGUAUAUCAAAUUUGUUGGAAAUUAAGUUUGAUAUUUUAAUAAAUAUUAAAAUAAAAGUUGUAUCUUUUUAUUUAAAGUGCCUUUUAGAAUUUAUUUUGAACCAAGAGUUGUCUUUGAAAAGACAUUUCUUUUAUGAAAUGGUGUCUUCAAAUUUAUAAAAGGGACUAUCAUACACAUCAUUUGUAAGGUCAAUUCUAAUUUUAUUUCUAUUAUUCUCCUACCAUAAAUACUAUUUUCAUAUUUCUUAGUAAUUAUGAGAAAGACUUGGUACCCCCGUCUUCCACCGAUCACACUCUAUGAGAUUUAUGGGUUGUAUCUUGGAGUGAUAUUCGACCGUCAGAAUCUGCGCGAAGGGACACGAAUACGAUUUUAGACAAAUACUUAUCAUGAUCUUAUCAGUAUCACACUAGCUAUUUCUUUAUUGGAUAUAAUUAUUAAUUUACGUAAGUUAUGUUUAUUAUUUUUUGUAAAUAAUUAAUAAUUUUUUGGUAUUUUAGAUAAAUGCGUGUGAUAAAUUCUCAAACAAAUUUGUGAUGUAAGAGGGAUGAGUGACUUUUGUAAAUGAUAAAAGAAAACUGUUAUUUAAUAUAUAUCAUUAUAAGGUGACGAAAGUAGCAUUAUUUUUUCGUUUGGUUUUCUUUUAAAAGGGGGGAGACCUCUCGCUACCCGUCAGUGGAAGAAGGGAAAUUUGAUUUUGAAUGUUGGUGGAAACCAUUUUUUCUCGUGAAGUGCGCCGCGUUGAUGGAGUGGAACAUUUUCUCAAAGCUAUGUAAUUACUGUCACCUAUGCAAAUUGCAAUGUUGCCUGAAGUUUGUUGGAUGGUUUGUGCCCUGUGAUCUUGAAUUUUUUUUUUUUUAGAAGGGGGGGGGGGGGGGGGGGGGGGGGGGGGACAAAGAGCAAUGAUUUAAAUAUAUAUUGUAUAAAAAUAAAUCCACUUCACAUACUUAUGCUAUUGUGGCGAUGUUUGGGGUUGAUAAAUUGGAAGAACAUGACUCGUUUUUUGAAUUGUAGUUGUAAGCAAUUGCACUUAGACAUUUUACUUGAUUUUUUUAUCUUUUUUAAAAAAGUACAGUUAUAAAUCUUUUUAACGCAUAGUCUAGUAAGAUUGUGCUUGGAUUACAAUUUGAUGGAGGGAAAGGAGAAGGAAAUAAAAAAAAUUAAAAAAUCAAAUAAUUUAGAUUUAUUUUUAUUUAUUUUUACUUUCUUUUCUCUCAAUAAAUUCCUCCCUAAAUCCUUAAUCUAAAUAUAGCCUUCCCUUUUAAAGUUUUACUAUAUGCUUGCAAGUUUUAGAAACAGUUGCAAUAUUCUGCUGCAUUAUUCCCACUACACUAUCAGUUAGCAAAUCUAUAUGAAUCUAUUGAAAUGUCUCACAUUGUCCUUAUGUCUUCUUAAUGUUGUCUAUAAGGUUCAUAUUUUUUUCUCUUUAAUAUAUGAGUUUUAAGCAGAAAGAUGGGCUGAAUCUGACAAGUAGUAUCAGAGAAAGGUUGGACCUUAAUAAGGAAAAAAAAAUUCUAUCAUUUCAAACCACUCAUUUCAACAUAACUUCAACCAUUUCCUCAAUUUAGCGAAAAUUGCUCAAUUGCUAUUCAAUUUUCAUAUAAAAAAUGCGAUUGUGGUUGCUUGAAUUUAAACUUAUGUUUUUAAGAUUUUAAAGUCCAAACAUUUAUGUAAUAUCCCAACUCUCCUAAUAUUCUUUUUAUACCAUCCCAUAUUUUUUUAAUUUUACGAUAAUUUUUGGGCAAUUUUCUAAAUUGAUUUUUUGACCAGAAUUUUGAACAAAAUGUGCGGGAACACCCAUAUUUUUUCCUAUUCUCUCUUGGAGCAUCCAACCCCUUCUUGUUCAUUCUAUUCCUCAUUCACGAGGUGGGAAUUUAGGAUGAGAUGGUGGCAAAAUUGUCGCAUGGCAUUUAGAGAGAACCCUAAUACCUUUGUUUUCAUGUUUAUAUAUAUAUUGAAAUUGCUUGACAAGAGGAAAAUCGAAAAAAAAUAUUGGCCAAAAAAAAAAACAAUUAAAGAAAAAAUGAGAAAAAAAUAUAUUGUUACGCUUUAUUUGACUUUAAAAAUAAAUUAUAAAAUUAUUUUAGAUAAUUAUAGAUAAAUUUUAAUGUAAUAUUUAAAAUGUAUAUAAUGAAUUAUACAUAUUAUUUUAUUUUUAAGUCAUUUAUAAUAGAAAUUAUUAAAUUUUAUUAAAACUUCAGAAUUCUAAAUAAGAUAAAUGAAAGUAAAAAUUUGGCCAAACUACGGGAACAAAUGAUGCAAUUUACCCGGGAAUAAAGGCAACACAUCUAAACCGUCCAUUCAUUUGAGGAUCGUAAGGUGGCGGAGGCUAGGGUUUCGAACAUUCCGGAUAACCGAGAACAACGCGGUAAUACUCCUAUAAAGCCAUCUCUUUCUUCAUCUCCAAAGGAAUUCCAAAACCCUAGAUUACUGUACCUCUCUCUCUCAGAAGUUAUGGCCGGAAAGGGAGAGGGACCAGCGAUCGGAAUCGAUCUCGGCACGACCUACUCGUGCGUCGGGGUAUGGCGGCACGACCGCGUCGAGAUCAUCGCCAACGACCAAGGCAACCGUACGACGCCGUCCUACGUCGGCUUCACCGACACCGAACGGUUGAUCGGCGCCGCCGCCAAGAAUCAGGUCGCCAUGAACUACAUUAACACUGUAUUCGGUAAGACUCCUCUCUCUUUCUCUCUCUAAUUUUAUUUGGAUCUGUUAGUGGCCAUAAUAUGGUCUACCGGAUCUACUAGUUUG
RNAcentral lists this long non-coding RNA (3575 nucleotides) under Actinidia chinensis (golden kiwifruit). RNAcentral describes it as "long non-coding RNA (ACHI_LNC008603)". The record is from RNAcentral. Lineage: Eukaryota; Viridiplantae; Streptophyta; Magnoliopsida; Ericales; Actinidiaceae.